AUCCUGCAUUUUUGGCUUCUCUUGGAAGCCUGGGCACAAAGCAUCUGACUGCAGCUGGGAAUUCAUCACCUCUCUCCCUGGAUAUGCAAAUUUUACUGGAACUCCCUCAGCUAACUUCCUGAAUUCCCUGUUAGCAGAUGCUGAUGCAGAUGUAAGAAAUAUUUUAAUUUCUCUCAGCAAUUAAAUGAAACAGAACAUGACCAGAGCUCCAGAAGAAGGAAAAACGUGUUUGCUGGAGGGCAGGAAAACCCUGGAGCUGCUGAUAACUACAACUCAUUCUGAUGAAACCAGGAAAAGUGGAUUGAAAGGAAUGAGGUUAUGGAGCAUGAAAAAAUAUUCCAAAACAGCUAUGGAGGAGGGAAGAGGAGUUUCUG
This is a long non-coding RNA of Melozone crissalis (California towhee), 374 nucleotides long. RefSeq lists it as uncharacterized. The record is from RefSeq and is a predicted model, not a curated record. Lineage: Eukaryota; Metazoa; Chordata; Aves; Passeriformes; Passerellidae. The transcript is spliced from 3 exons.